RNAcentral lists this small nuclear RNA (161 nucleotides) under Cricetulus griseus (Chinese hamster). RNAcentral describes it as "U1 spliceosomal RNA". The record is from RNAcentral. Lineage: Eukaryota; Metazoa; Chordata; Mammalia; Rodentia; Cricetidae.
ACCCCAAUCACCCAAUGCACUCUGGGACUACCACAAAUGAUACACUGUGUUCCCUACAUUUGGGAAAUCACAGGGGUCGACAUAUCAAGGGUGCAAUGGACAAGCUCUAUGCUGGGAAAACCGCCUUCAUGAUCAUGGCAUCUUUUCUGCCAGGCAAGUGU